This 253-nucleotide ribosomal RNA is filed under the name uncultured bacterium. Its description in RNAcentral is "partial 16S ribosomal RNA". It matches the Rfam family "Bacterial small subunit ribosomal RNA", at positions 524 to 776 of the family's 1533-position model. The record is from RNAcentral.
UACGUAGGCAGCAAGCGUUGUUCGGAAUUAUUGGGUUUAAAGGGUGCGUAGGCGGGUUAUUAAGUCAGUGGUGAAAGCCUUCAGCUUAACUGAAGAACUGCCAUUGAUACUGAUGAUCUUGAGUAUGAUUGAGGUGGGCGGAAUGUGUCAUGUAGCGGUGAAAUGCUUAGAUAUGACACAGAACACCGAUUGCGAAGGCAGCUCACUAAGCCAUAACUGACGCUGAUGCACGAAAGCGUGGGGAGCAAACAGG